CUGCAGCCGACGUGGCAGCAGCGGCGGGAAUACGUAGGGUGGAAGCGGUGUCCUGAAUCAUGGGGCGUAAAGGGCUCGUAGGCGGUCCAUCGCGUCGGGAGUGAAAAGCUGGGGCUUAACCCCAGUCCUGCUUUCGAUACGGGUGGACUAGAGGUAGGUAGGGGAGAACGGAAUUCCUGGUGUAGCGGUGAAAUGCGCAGAUAUCAGGAGGAACACCGGUGGCGAAGGCGGUUCUCUGGGCCUUACCUGACGCUGAGGAGCGAAAGCGUGGGGAGCAAACAGGAUUAGAUACCCGUGUAUC
This 301-nucleotide ribosomal RNA is filed under the name uncultured bacterium. Its description in RNAcentral is "bacterial SSU rRNA". It matches the Rfam family "Bacterial small subunit ribosomal RNA", at positions 494 to 794 of the family's 1533-position model. The record is from RNAcentral.